Molecule: ribosomal RNA, 253 nt
Filed under: uncultured bacterium
Lineage: Bacteria
Description: partial 16S ribosomal RNA
Rfam family: Bacterial small subunit ribosomal RNA
Source: RNAcentral
UACAGAGGUGGCAAGCGUUGUUCGGAAUUACUGGGCGUAAAGGGCGCGUAGGCGGCUUUUUAAGUCAGACGUGAAAUCCCCCGGCUUAACCUGGGAACUGCGUCUGAUACUGGAUGGCUAGAGUUUGGGAGAGGGAUGCGGAAUUCCAGGUGUAGCGGUGAAAUGCGUAGAUAUCUGGAGGAACACCGGUGGCGAAGGCGGCAUCCUGGACCAACACUGACACUGAGAGACGAAAGCCAGGGGAGCAAACGGG